Non-coding RNA from Hydra vulgaris (swiftwater hydra), 272 nucleotides. Lineage: Eukaryota; Metazoa; Cnidaria; Hydrozoa; Anthoathecata; Hydridae. The record is from RefSeq and is a predicted model, not a curated record.
AAACAGCCCUAAUCAAAAAUGCGAAAUUUGAUAAAUCUGUACUAAUUUAGUCAGCUUUAUCUGGUGAAUGCCUAACAGCUCACAAUUAUUAAUUAUUACAGGAACUAUAAAAAUAAAUGUAAGGAAAAACCAAGUAUAUAAAAUAAUGUCAAGCUCAUUGGUAAGUUACUAUAUGUAUGUUUGUUUUCUGUUUAAACUUCUGGCGCUGUUGGCUCACCCAAAAAUUACUGUAUGUUUAUUUGUGUUCAUUUUAAACCACUUGCACAAUGUUG